CGCGCCGGGGCCGCUCCUCCGGAGCAGGAGUGGGACGAGGAGGAGGAGGAGGCCGAGGGUUUUCUUCCCGGCCGGGGGAGAGAGCGGGAGCGCGGGGCCGGGCCGGAGGGAUGCAGGGUCCGAGGGACCCCGGGAGGCUCCGCGGCUUCGCGCCGUCUCCCGGCCCGGCGCGUUUCCCUUUGACUCGUUUGACACGGAUGCGUCGCCGUCCCACCUCCCUCGCCGAGGAGCCGCUCCGGGCGGGAAGCGGAGGGGGCAGGCGAGCGUCGGCGUCUCCCUUCCGAAGGCUCCGGGCGGGUCUGGGAGCGCCAAGGGCUAGACACGACCGCCGGCACGCGGCCCCCCCRGCACACCCCCGCCCCGGCACGGGGGCCCCCGUCAGCCCAGCCUUAUCUCAGCACUCAGGCAGCUACACAAACACAAGCGGAUCGACGGGAUUACGCUAUAAUUCCGGGGGGGUUAUUGCCGCUCGGCUCCUCGUCCCGCCCUGGUGGCGCACGGAGCGGGUGCCGGAGCACGGAGCAGGUGCCGGAGCGCCGAGGGCCGGGCUCGCGCGUCGAGGCUCCGCCGCCGCCCCAGCGGGUUUUCCGGGAAGCUCCCACUCGCUCUCCUGGAUUUCGGAGGAGCGAAGCGGAGCAGUCGGAGCCCGGGUGGGAGACGCGGGGCUCCCGGUGCCCCUGGGAAGUCACUUCACCUCUCUGUGCCUCGGUUUCCCCCCUUCCUCUCCCCCGCUGCGGUUACCGGUGUUGCCUUCCUCGCCGCCGCGGCCCCCCCUGGAGCCGGCGCCGCUCCCGUCCGCGCCCUCCCUUCCGGCUCUCCGAGGCAGGUCCCCGCUCGUCCCCACCGACGGCCGCUUCCGCCCCGCGCCGGGGCGGAUCCCGAUGCUACUGAACCGACGACGACGACAACGUAUUUAAAGUAGGGUCACUGCAAAAACACAACCGUGUUGCCAAAAAACCAACAAAACGAGAAAACAAGCGUUUAAUUGCCUCUGUAUUUAGGGUUUUUG
This 1009-nucleotide long non-coding RNA is filed under the name Apteryx rowi (Okarito brown kiwi). Its description in RNAcentral is "lncRNA (ENSARWG00000018172.1)". The record is from RNAcentral. Lineage: Eukaryota; Metazoa; Chordata; Aves; Apterygiformes; Apterygidae.